This 88-nucleotide transfer RNA is filed under the name Pharnaceum aurantium. RNAcentral's name for it is "tRNA-Ser". It matches the Rfam family "tRNA". From Rfam's summary of the family: Transfer RNA (tRNA) molecules are approximately 80 nucleotides in length. Their secondary structure includes four short double-helical elements and three loops (D, anti-codon, and T loops). The record is from RNAcentral. Lineage: Eukaryota; Viridiplantae; Streptophyta; Magnoliopsida; Caryophyllales; Molluginaceae.
GGAGAGAUGCCUGAGUGGACGAAAAAGUCGGAUUGCUAAUCCGUCGUACGAAUCUUUCGUAUCGAGGGUUCGCAUCCCUCUCUUUCCU